RNAcentral lists this transfer RNA (94 nucleotides) under Synergistetes bacterium ADurb.Bin520. Its description in RNAcentral is "tRNA-Ser". It matches the Rfam family "tRNA". Rfam says of the family: Transfer RNA (tRNA) molecules are approximately 80 nucleotides in length. Their secondary structure includes four short double-helical elements and three loops (D, anti-codon, and T loops). Further hydrogen bonds mediate the characteristic L-shaped molecular structure. tRNAs have two regions of fundamental functional importance: the anti-codon, which is responsible for specific mRNA codon recognition, and the 3' end, to which the tRNAs corresponding amino acid is attached (by aminoacyl-tRNA synthetases). tRNAs cope with the degeneracy of the genetic code in two manners: having more than one tRNA (with a specific anti-codon) for a particular amino acid; and 'wobble' base-pairing, i.e. permitting non-standard base-pairing at the 3rd anti-codon position. The record is from RNAcentral. RNAcentral also lists the same sequence under 1 other name. Lineage: Bacteria; Thermotogati; Synergistota.
GGUGGGGUGGCCGAGUGGCUGAAGGCGCUCGCCUGCUAAGCGGGUAGGGGGGCCAAAACCUCCCUCGAGGGUUCGAAUCCCUCCUCCACCGCCA